CAGUCGCCGCGGUAAUACGUAGGGUGCGAGCGUUGUCCGGAAUUAUUGGGCGUAAAGAGCUUGUAGGUGGUUUGUCGCGUCUGCUGUGAAAAUCCGAGGCUCAACCUCGGGCUUGCAGUGGGUACGGGCAGACUAGAGUGUGGUAGGGGAGACUGGAAUUCCUGGUGUAGCGGUGGAAUGCGCAGAUAUCAGGAGGAACACCGAUGGCGAAGGCAGGUCUCUGGGCCAUUACUGACACUGAGAAGCGAAAGCAUGGGGAGCGAACAGGAUUAGAUACCCCCGUAGUCCCUGUCUCUUAUAC
This 301-nucleotide ribosomal RNA is filed under the name uncultured bacterium. RNAcentral's name for it is "partial 16S ribosomal RNA". It matches the Rfam family "Bacterial small subunit ribosomal RNA", at positions 509 to 807 of the family's 1533-position model. The record is from RNAcentral.